This 253-nucleotide ribosomal RNA is filed under the name uncultured bacterium. Its description in RNAcentral is "partial 16S ribosomal RNA". It matches the Rfam family "Bacterial small subunit ribosomal RNA", at positions 524 to 776 of the family's 1533-position model. The record is from RNAcentral.
UACGUAGGGGGCAAGCGUUGUUCGGAAUUACUGGGCGUAAAGGGCGCGUAGGCGGUCUUGUAAGUCUUGUGUGAAAUCCCUCGGCUUAACUGAGGAACUGCACGGGAUACUGCGAGACUUGAGAUCGGGAGAGGGAAGCGGAAUUCCGGGUGUAGCGGUGAAAUGCGUAGAUAUCCGGAGGAACACCGGUGGCGAAGGCGGCUUCCUGGACCGACACUGACGCUGAGGCGCGAAAGCUAGGGGAGCAAACGGG